AGUAUACCUGCCCAGUGCGAAAUAUUAAUGUAAACGGCCGCCCUAGCGUGAGGGUGCUAAGGUAGCGAAAUUCCUUGCCUUUUGAUUGUAGGCCUGCAUGAAUGGUUUAACGAGGGUUUAGCUGUCUCUAAAUUUUUAAUUGAAAUUGUAUUGAAGGUGAAGAUACCUUCAUUUAAAAGUUAGACAAAAAGACCCCGUGCAACUUUGAAAAUUAACUUUAUUCAGGGGUAAAAGAUUUUUAGGUGGGGCGCCUAGAAAGUAAGCCUAACCUUUCUGAGUAAGAGUUUCUUUCAGGAGUUGACCCGAUUAUAUUCGAUCAUAGGAGAAGUUACGCCGGGGAUAACAGGCUAAUCCUUUAGUAGAGCUCGUAUUGGCUAAAGGGAUUGGCACCUCGAUGUUGAAUCAGGGAUGAUAGCUUCAAGGCGUAGAGGCUUUGAGAGUAGGUCUGUUCGACCUUUAAUACCCUACGUGAUCUGUUUAUACCGUGAAACUAGCGGGGACUUCCUAAUGGUGCAGCCGCUAUUAAGGGUUCGUUUGUUCAAACGAUUAAAGUCCUACGUGAUCUGAGUUCAGACCGGGGGGA
Molecule: ribosomal RNA, 583 nt
Filed under: Crassostrea madrasensis
Lineage: Eukaryota; Metazoa; Mollusca; Bivalvia; Ostreida; Ostreidae
Description: partial large subunit ribosomal RNA
Rfam family: Bacterial large subunit ribosomal RNA
Source: RNAcentral